RNAcentral lists this small nuclear RNA (137 nucleotides) under Sorex araneus (European shrew). RNAcentral describes it as "U1 spliceosomal RNA (ENSSARG00000016788.1)". It matches the Rfam family "U1 spliceosomal RNA". Rfam says of the family: U1 is a small nuclear RNA (snRNA) component of the spliceosome (involved in pre-mRNA splicing). Its 5' end forms complementary base pairs with the 5' splice junction, thus defining the 5' donor site of an intron. The record is from RNAcentral. Lineage: Eukaryota; Metazoa; Chordata; Mammalia; Eulipotyphla; Soricidae.
ACACUUACCUGGCAGAGGACAUACCCUGAUCACAAAGGUGGUUUUCCCAGGCUAGGGCUUAUCCAUUGCAAUUCCCCAAAUAAGGGAAACUUGACUGCAUAAUGUUAGUAGUGGGGGACUAUGUUCAAGCUCUCCCU